GUGUACAGAUGUGGGAGGCAUGUUGUGAUGACGGUUGGCUGCUUAUGGAGAAUCAAUGGGCAUGAGGCGCUAAUAUGUUUUGCCUUUCUCAUACGCUAAUGGCGCUGGCUGGGCGAAAUCGUUCACGGCCAUCGGAAUUUUACCCUGGAGUCUUCGGUUGGAUAUCGCAGCUCGCAAGAAGGAACAAUGUUGCCGACUACCGGAAGAGAGCAUUUGCACAUGAAGAGAAUCAGUCUUAUUCACGGGCGUGAUUUGUUGAUAGAACCGAAACGUAGCCCAAUUUCCUUUAGGUGCACCCAGCUGCAAAAAGUAAGCUGAAGUUAAAAUUAUGCUUCUCAAUUGCACGGCAUCCAAGAGAGGCAACAACUGCAUUCGAUAACCCGGAGCUCGGAAGAUUUCAGAAAAGAUGGAUCAGAACGUUAUUAAAAUAUUGAAACAAGCUGGGCAGUCAACCUGG
This is a long non-coding RNA of Armigeres subalbatus, 457 nucleotides long. RefSeq lists it as uncharacterized. Lineage: Eukaryota; Metazoa; Arthropoda; Insecta; Diptera; Culicidae. The transcript is spliced from 3 exons. The record is from RefSeq and is a predicted model, not a curated record.